CCUACGGGUGGCAGCAGUGAGGAAUAUUGGUCAAUGGACGCAAGUCUGAACCAGCCAUGCCGCGUGCAGGAAGACGGCUCUAUGAGUUGUAAACUGCGUUUGUACGAGGGUAAAUCCCGAUACGUGUAUCGUGUUGCACGUAUCGUACGAAUAAGGAUCGGCUAACUCCGUGCCAGCAGCCGCGGUAAUACGGAGGAUUCAGGCGUUAUCCGGAUUUAUUUGGUUUAAAGGGUGCGUAGGCGGUUCGGUAAGUUAAGGGUGAAAUCCCGGGGCUCAACUCCGGCACUGCCUCUGAUACGGUCGGGCUAGAGUUUAGUUGCGGUAGGCGGAAUGUAUGGUGUAGCGGUGAAAUGCAUAGAGAUCAUACAGAACACCGAUUGCGAAGGCAGCUUACCAAACUACGACUGACGUUGAGGCACGAAAGCGUGGGGAGCAAACAGGAUUAGAUACCCCGGUAGUC
RNAcentral lists this ribosomal RNA (460 nucleotides) under uncultured bacterium. RNAcentral's name for it is "partial 16S ribosomal RNA". It matches the Rfam family "Bacterial small subunit ribosomal RNA", at positions 338 to 795 of the family's 1533-position model. The record is from RNAcentral.